GUGGGUAGUCCGCACGAGCGCAACCCUGUCCUUAGUUGCCAGCACAUAAUGGUGGGGACUCUAAGGAGACUGCCUGGGAUAACCAGGAGGAAGGUGGGGAUGAUGUCAAGUCAGUAUGUCCCUUAUGUCCAGGGCUACACACGUGUUACAAUGGCCGGUACAAUGGGCUGCAAACCUGCGAGGGUAAGCCAAUCCCAAAAAACCGGCCCCAGUUCAGAUUGGAGUCUGCAACUCGACUCCAUGAAGGAGGAAUCGCUAGUAAUCGCGGAUCAGCACGCCGCGGUGAAUACGUUCCCGGGUCUUGUACACACCGCCCGUCAAGCCAUGGAAGUCGGCAGUACCCGAAGCCGGUGUCCCAACUCUUCGGAGAGGGAGCCGUCGAAGGUAAGGCUGGUAACUAGGGCUAAGUCGUAACAAGGUAGCCGUACCGGAAGGUGCGGCUGGAUCACCUCCUUUCU
RNAcentral lists this ribosomal RNA (458 nucleotides) under uncultured delta proteobacterium. RNAcentral's name for it is "bacterial SSU rRNA". It matches the Rfam family "Bacterial small subunit ribosomal RNA", at positions 1074 to 1533 of the family's 1533-position model. The record is from RNAcentral. Lineage: Bacteria; Deltaproteobacteria.